This 253-nucleotide ribosomal RNA is filed under the name uncultured bacterium. Its description in RNAcentral is "partial 16S ribosomal RNA". It matches the Rfam family "Bacterial small subunit ribosomal RNA", at positions 524 to 776 of the family's 1533-position model. The record is from RNAcentral.
UACGUAGGUGGCAAGCGUUAUCCGGAAUUAUUGGGCGUAAAGCGCGCGUAGGCGGUUUUUUAAGUCUGAUGUGAAAGCUCACAGCUCAACCGGGAAGGGGCAUUGGAAACUGUAAAACUUGAGUGCAGAAGAGGAAAGUGGAAUACCAUGUGUAGCGGUGAAAUGCUCAGAGAUAUGGAGGAACACCAAUGGCGAAGGCGACUUUCUGGUCUGUAACUGACGCUGAUGUGCGAAAGCGUGGGGAUCAAACAGG